GAGUUUGAUCCUGGCUCAGAUUGAACGCUAGCGGGAUGCCUUACACAUGCAAGUCGAACGGCAGCACGGACUUCGGUCUGGUGGCGAGUGGCGAACGGGUGAGUAAUGUAUCGGAACGUGCCUAGUAGCGGGGGGGUAACUACGCGAAAGCGUAGCUAAUACCGCAUACGCCCUACGGGGAAAGCAGGGGAUCGCAAGACCUUGCACUAUUAGAGCGGCCGAUAUCGGAUUAGCUAGUUGGUGGGGUAACGGCUCACCAAGGCGACGAUCCGUAGCUGGUUUGAGAGGACGACCAGCCACACUGGGACUGAGACACGGCCCAGACUCCUACGGGAGGCAGCAGUGGGGAAUUUUGGACAAUGGGGGAAACCCUGAUCCAGCCAUCCCGCGUGUGCGAUGAAGGCCUCGG
This 409-nucleotide ribosomal RNA is filed under the name uncultured microorganism. RNAcentral describes it as "bacterial SSU rRNA". It matches the Rfam family "Bacterial small subunit ribosomal RNA", at positions 9 to 420 of the family's 1533-position model. The record is from RNAcentral.